GACCAAGCCGACACUCGGGACUGAGACACGGCCCAGACUCCUACGGGAGGCAGCAGUGGGGAAUUUUGGACAAUGGGCGCAAGCCUGAUCCAGCCAUGUCGCGUGCGGGAAGAAGGCCUUCGGGUUGUAAACCACUUUUGUCAGGGAAGAAACGGCUCUCACUAAUACUAGGAGCUAAUGACGGUACCUGAAGAAUAAGCACCGGCUAACUACGUGCCAGCAGCCGCGGUAAUACGUAGGGUGCAAGCGUUAAUCGGAAUUACUGGGCGUAAAGCGUGCGCAGGCGGCUUUGCAAGACAGAUGUGAAAUCCCCGGGCUCAACCUGGGAACUGCAUUUGUGACUGCAUGGCUAGAGUAUGGUAGAGGGGGAUGGAAUUCCGCGUG
This 384-nucleotide ribosomal RNA is filed under the name Nostoc sp. HG1. RNAcentral describes it as "bacterial SSU rRNA". It matches the Rfam family "Bacterial small subunit ribosomal RNA", at positions 298 to 675 of the family's 1533-position model. The record is from RNAcentral. Lineage: Bacteria; Bacillati; Cyanobacteriota; Cyanophyceae; Nostocales; Nostocaceae.